AAGUCGUAACAAGGUUUCCGUAGGUGAACCUGCGGAAGGAUCAUUAUCAGAAAUGGCGGCGACGCGUUAGCUAUUGCCACCAGGUUAGGACCAAUACAAUAUACUUACUUGUGUUUAAAAAGGAACAACCAAAGCAAUACAACUGCAAACGGUGGAUCACUCGGCUCGCA
This 170-nucleotide unclassified non-coding RNA is filed under the name fungal sp. RNAcentral's name for it is "partial internal transcribed spacer region". The stretch from base 1 to 46 matches the Rfam family "Eukaryotic small subunit ribosomal RNA", at positions 1786 to 1831 of the family's 1831-position model. The record is from RNAcentral. Lineage: Eukaryota; Fungi.